AUCCGCAACGUAUAAUAUCUAAUAUCCUUCCAUCGAUAAUGGCACUUGUAUCUACAAUCUUAGGUGUCGCUCUUCGUAUAUUAUUAGACAUGGAACGUGCCAUAUUCUCUGGUAAAAACAUAAGCAUUUCAUCUCUUUUUUUCAGACCAAAUUGAAACCCUAAAUAACAUAAAAUAAUAGUGAUUAUCAUAGGUACAAAGUGAUUUAAUAUGGAAUUACCUAUCAUUUCUAAGAUAAAAGAAACCAUCACUGAAAUAAAUAAACCAAUAAUUAAACCAAUUGUAGCAAAUAAUAUUUCUACCGCACUACGUCUCAUGAUUAAUUGUUCAAAUUGUUUAAAAGCAUAUGUUACUUUAUUAAUGAACAAUCCAAAUAUUAUAAAAAAUAUAAUGAUCCCUAUGAAACCAUCUACAUAAUAAUUAGUGAUAGGGCGUUGAGUAUUUGGUCGUAGACCCGAAACCAGGUGAUCUACCCUUGGUCAGGUUGAAGUUCAGGUAACACUGAAUGGAGGACCGAACCGACUUACGUUGAAAAGUGAGCGGAUGAACUGAGGGUAGCGGAGAAAUUCCAAUCGAACUUGGAGAUAGCUGGUUCUCUCCGAAAUAGCUUUAGGGCUAGCCUCAAGUGAUGAUUAUUGGAGGUAGAGCACUGUUUGGACGAGGGGCCCCUCUCGGGUUACCGAAUUCAGACAAACUCCGAAUGCCAAUUAAUUUAACUUGGGAGUCAGAACAUGGGUGAUAAGGUCCGUGUUCGAAAGGGAAACAGCCCAGACCACCAGCUAAGGUCCCAAAAUAUAUGUUAAGUGGAAAAGGAUGUGGCGUUGCCCAGACAACUAGGAUGUUGGCUUAGAAGCAGCCAUCAUUUAAAGAGUGCGUAAUAGCUCACUAGUCGAGUGACACUGCGCCGAAAAUGUACCGGGGCUAAACAUAUUACCGAAGCUGUGGAUUGUCCUUUGGACAAUGGUAGGAGAGCGUUCUAAGGGCGUCGAAGCAUGAUCGCAAGGACAUGUGGAGCGCUUAGAAGUGAGAAUGCCGGUGUGAGUAGCGAAAGACGGGUGAGAAUCCCGUCCACCGAUUGACUAAGGUUUCCAGAGGAAGGCUCGUCCGCUCUGGGUUAGUCGGGUCCUAAGCUGAGGCCGACAGGCGUAGGCGAUGGAUAACAGGUUGAUAUUCCUGUACCACCUAGUAUCGUUUUAAUCGAUGGGGGGACGCAGUAGGAUAGGCGAAGCGUGCUGUUGGAGUGCACGUCCAAGCAGUAAGGCUGAGUGUUAGGCAAAUCCGGCACUCAUAAGGCUGAGCUGUGAUGGGGAGAGGAAAUUGUUUCCUCGAGUCGUUGAUUUCACACUGCCGAGAAAAGCCUCUAGAUAGAUAACAGGUGCCCGUACCGCAAACCGACACAGGUAGUCAAGAUGAGAAUUCUAAGGUGAGCGAGCGAACUCUCGUUAAGGAACUCGGCAAAAUGACCCCGUAACUUCGGGAGAAGGGGUGCUCUUUAGGGUUCACGCCCAGAAGAGCCGCAGUGAAUAGGCCCAAGCGACUGUUUAUCAAAAACACAGGUCUCUGCUAAACCGUAAGGUGAUGUAUAGGGGCUGACGCCUGCCCGGUGCUGGAAGGUUAAGAGGAGUGGUUAGCUUCUGCGAAGCUACGAAUCGAAGCCCCAGUAAACGGCGGCCGUAACUAUAACGGUCCUAAGGUAGCGAAAUUCCUUGUCGGGUAAGUUCCGACCCGCACGAAAGGCGUAACGAUUUGGGCACUGUCUCAACGAGAGACUCGGUGAAAUCAUAGUACCUGUGAAGAUGCAGGUUACCCGCGACAGGACGGAAAGACCCCGUGGAGCUUUACUGUAGCCUGAUAUUGAAAUUCGGCACAGCUUGUACAGGAUAGGUAGGAGCCUUUGAAACGUGAGCGCUAGCUUACGUGGAGGCGUUGGUGGGAUACUACCCUAGCUGUGUUGGCUUUCUAACCCGCACCACUUAUCGUGGUGGGAGACAGUGUCAGGCGGGCAGUUUGACUGGGGCGGUCGCCUCCUAAAAGGUAACGGAGGCGCUCAAAGGUUCCCUCAGAAUGGUUGGAAAUCAUUCAUAGAGUGUAAAGGCAUAAGGGAGCUUGACUGCGAGACCUACAAGUCGAGCAGGGUCGAAAGACGGACUUAGUGAUCCGGUGGUUCCGCAUGGAAGGGCCAUCGCUCAACGGAUAAAAGCUACCCCGGGGAUAACAGGCUUAUCUCCCCCAAGAGUUCACAUCGACGGGGAGGUUUGGCACCUCGAUGUCGGCUCAUCGCAUCCUGGGGCUGUAGUCGGUCCCAAGGGUUGGGCUGUUCGCCCAUUAAAGCGGUACGCGAGCUGGGUUCAGAACGUCGUGAGACAGUUCGGUCCCUAUCCG
RNAcentral lists this ribosomal RNA (2381 nucleotides) under Staphylococcus epidermidis. RNAcentral describes it as "bacterial LSU rRNA". The stretch from base 279 to 2381 matches the Rfam family "Bacterial large subunit ribosomal RNA". Lineage: Bacteria; Bacillati; Bacillota; Bacilli; Caryophanales; Staphylococcaceae. RNAcentral also lists the same sequence under 2 other names. The record is from RNAcentral.